UGCCUACGGGAGGCAGCAGUGGGGAAUAUUGCACAAUGGGGGAAACCCUGAUGCAGCGACGCCGCGUGAGCGAUGAAGUAUUUCGGUAUGUAAAGCUCUAUCAGCAGGGAAGAAAAUGACGGUACCUGACUAAGAAGCCCCGGCUAACUACGUGCCAGCAGCCGCGGUAAUACGUAGGGGGCAAGCGUUAUCCGGAUUUACUGGGUGUAAAGGGAGCGUAGACGGCUUUGCAAGCCAGAUGUGAAAGCCCGGGGCUCAACCCCGACUGCAUUUGGAACUGUGUGGCUAGAGUGUCGGAGAGGCAG
This 305-nucleotide ribosomal RNA is filed under the name uncultured bacterium. RNAcentral's name for it is "bacterial SSU rRNA". It matches the Rfam family "Bacterial small subunit ribosomal RNA", at positions 335 to 660 of the family's 1533-position model. The record is from RNAcentral.